UCUGUUUCGAUGGCAUUCAUCGUUGACCAAAAAUACAUAAACAUACCAAACGGCAAAUGUCAGCUCUGCACAGUUUGUGCAUGAUAGAAAUUACAUGCACACAUGCAGAGCUUUUGCAUGCACACACAGGUGCUG
Molecule: long non-coding RNA, 135 nt
Organism: Thalassophryne amazonica
Lineage: Eukaryota; Metazoa; Chordata; Actinopteri; Batrachoidiformes; Batrachoididae
Exons: 3
Source: RefSeq, a predicted model, not a curated record